This 2679-nucleotide long non-coding RNA is filed under the name Brassica napus (rape). RNAcentral's name for it is "long non-coding RNA (BNAP_LNC013485)". Lineage: Eukaryota; Viridiplantae; Streptophyta; Magnoliopsida; Brassicales; Brassicaceae. The record is from RNAcentral.
AUUUUGCCGGAGAAGAACCAGAGCUGCUGCUGCUACUGCUUUCUCCAUUGGUUGUAACAUCGGAUUGAGCUGAAGCUGAGGAGUUCAUAGAACUCUGGUUGGUAUUUGUGGAUGGUGCUUGUCCUUCUUCAGCGAGUUUCUUAAGGAGGUUCAUGACCGUUGGAAGGAACUUGGUUGACAAGGAAAGAAGUCCAGGUAGCUGUUAUUGAUCACAGAUGAAACAUUGGCUUUUCAGAGACAUUAUAAAUGAGAAUAAUUUGAAGAACAGUGGCAAUACGGAUGUUGGAAACUUGCUCAUACCGCUCCAUGUUGGAAUUCUCCUGAAAUAUUUAACUGCACCCACAAGGCUUUGGAAACAAGGUAUCCAACGAACAGAACACCGAGCCACAGAGGAUUUCUGCCACAAGAGAAGCAAGGAAAGAAGAGAAAGGUGAGUGGGGAGAAUCUCCUUGAUCUGAAAAACAAACUCAAUUCAAAAGAAUGGGUAAAGAGUACCUUAAUAGAGUCAUAAACUCAUUAAAUCCAAGAACUACCAGGGCAAGGAUUGCCCAUGGAGGUGGCAACCAGUUGUUAUUCCGUCGGUUAGCUUCCUGAAAUUCAAUGUUACCAUAUGAGAAAACAGAGAGUUCUAAUAACAUAUCUUUGACCUCUUCUGUAAGAAAAUUCCUGCAUCAAUCAAGUUGUGACAGUUGAGAACAAAAGCACCAUCCUCUCUUGAUGCAAUGGAUCAUUUCAACUUUCUUCUAACCAUUUUUUCAGUUACCUAAUUUCUAAAUGGCUAUUGCUAAGAAACGCAGUGAGGUGUAGGAGACAUGCAACUUACUGAAUGUAUCUUUGUUCCUCUUUUGGUGAAAGCUAUCAUCCGUUUCUCUCCCUCCUAAUAUAAAAAAUAGACAUAUAUACAUGUCAAGUCAAAUCAGACAUAUCCAGGGAACUGAAAGUAGUAGUGUUGAGGUGAUGGAGAAACCUGUUUCCUGAAAUAUUCUUGAAACUCAGCCCAUGAGCUGUGCGCUUUGACAACCACAAAGCUAAAUGCUUUAAGUUAAGGGGCAUGAAUCUCACAACCUCUAACCAUUAAUAGUAACAAAUGAUAUGCUUAUGCAAGGGAAGGAACCAAAACAAAAAGAACAUAGUUUAAGUGUGUAUAGAAGAAACUAAAACUAGGUUGGGGGAUACGGCCAAUAAUCCAAACCAGCUCGCUUUACUUUGGCGUCAUCCACUUGAAAACCUAAUGGCUGAAGCAGGAGAGAUCAGAUAAACACUUGGCAACAAUGAAUCAAUUAUAUAAGGGGAUAACAUGAAUGCACCCCGACUAAAUGCAGUCCAACAGCUGAAGCAGCACAUGUUCUUGCAAUGCAACCUGUGUUUCCAGGAAUCUGUCAAAGGAAGGAGCAACGAGUAUAUAUCUAUAUAAGCCACAAGUGUCUGAAGACGCCACUACCAAACCAAAACAAUGCAGUAGUAACGUUUAUGUGUUCAGUGUUUCUUGGUGAUUGAGCCUAACCUGGGGAGAGACCAAGACUACUUGAAGAAGCUUACUCCUCGCAUCUUCUUUAACUCCUUCUCCUGCCCCACGCGGCAGGGCAUUACUUCUCUUGUCCUUGUCCGAGAGAGGAGGAGGAGGAGGAGACAGAAUCUUGGUGGAAAAUGAAGUGAUGGAGAGAGACAGCCUGCGCUUAAGGUUGAGAUGAGUUAAGCCAAGAGAAGGCAAGAGGCGGUCACUUGACUGUUGCCGGAGAUGAAACGGCCUUGAAGCUAUAAAGAAGCUCAGACUGCUCCGGCCGCAACUCCCCAUACUUCCCCAGCCAACCUACUUCCUUCCUUCCUCCGCAGAUAAUGUUGCUUACAGCACGCUUUGAAACAAAUAUCAUUUGGGCCCAAAUUGCCAAUAUGUAGGCCCAUUUAUUAUUCAGACCUUUCCCCAUGCCUGGUCUGAUCUCAUGCCUAGUUCAUGUCCGAGACCAAUCUUUAAUGUUUCAAGUUGAUAACUGAGUGAAACACCCUGCAUUACCAUAGCACUGAGAAACUGAAACUCCCUUCAAUCAACAAACCAAUCUUUUACGUUUCACCAUUCUUUCAUCAGAUACAAUAAACCACAUUAAUACAGAACUCGCAAACAAACCAGGAGUAUAUUUUUUUUUGUCUGCAUCAUGUCUAGGUACAUACAAGAUAGGCACAAAUGCCUUAAGAGACAUAAACAUAUGGCCCUCGGUGAACCCCUCUGAUCAACACCAAAAUUGAGAGCUAUCCUUUUGUAAGGGUACCGAAAUUUAAAGUGUCUAGGUUCGUGGACUCGGACAAACAACAGCUUAAGCUUGUCUAGUUCUUUGUUCUAUGAACUUGUGUCAAUGGGAACAGAUUUUGCCGGAGAAGAACCAGAGCUGCUGCUGCUACUGCUUUCUCCAUUGGUUGUAACAUCGGAUUGAGCUGAAGCUGAGGAGUUCAUAGAACUCUGGUUGGUAUUUGUGGAUGGUGCUUGUCCUUCUUCAGCGAGUUUCUUAAGGAGGUUCAUGACCGUUGGAAGGAACUUGGUUGACAAGGAAAGAAGUCCAGGUAGCUGUUAUUGAUCACAGAUGAAACAUUGGCUUUUCAGAGACAUUAUAAAUGAGAAUAAUUUGAAGAACAGUGGCAAUACGGAUGUUGGAAACUUGCUCAUACCGCUCCAUGUUGGAAUUCUCC